Molecule: ribosomal RNA, 497 nt
Filed under: uncultured bacterium
Lineage: Bacteria
Description: partial 16S ribosomal RNA
Rfam family: Bacterial small subunit ribosomal RNA
Source: RNAcentral
GAUGAACGCUGGCGGCGUGCCUAAUACAUGCAAGUCGAGCGAACGGACGAGAAGCUUGCUUCUCUGAUGUUAGCGGCGGACGGGUGAGUAACACGUGGAUAACCUACCUAUAGGACUGGGAUAACUUCGGGAAACCGGAGCUAAUACCGGAUGAUAUUUUGAACCGCAUGGUUCAAUAGUGAAAGACGGUCUUGCUGUCACUUAUAGAUGGAUCCGCGCUGCAUUAGCUAGUUGGUAAGGUAACGGCUUACCAAGGCAACGAUGCAUAGCCGACCUGAGAGGGUGAUCGGCCACACUGGAACUGAGACACGGUCCAGACUCCUACGGGAGGCAGCAGUAGGGAAUCUUCCGCAAUGGGCGAAAGCCUGACGGAGCAACGCCGCGUGAGUGAUGAAGGUCUUCGGAUCGUAAAACUCUGUUAUUAGGGAAGAACAUAUGUGUAAGUAACUAUGCACGUCUUGACGGUACCUAAUCAGAAAGCCACGGCUAACUACGUG